UGGAAAUAAAAGGUUAUGACCUCUGACGGCUCUAAUGUUCUCCCUCUUCGUGGGACCCGCUACACAAUCCUUUCAUCUUGACUUCUAUGAGAUGUCAUCAGAGAAUCCUGGAAGCAAGCAGGUCUGGAAAGCACCUGAGGCAGUGUGUCCACCUCCCUUAAUUCAGACUCGGAGGGAUAAGCGGUGGCACAGAAUCCUCUCUCCAGAAUCAUCUCCAUCACAUCCCAGGCAAUGAGGGUGAAACAGACCCUGCCUCCCGUUCCCACACAUUCCCACGAUAACUCAGUCUGCAACCAGGCUCAGUAGCAAGUUCCAGAAAAGAGAACCUGCCUGGGACAAGAACUUCAUGGCCUAAGCCACCAAACCAUACACAAUAGUCAGAUGCUCUGUUUCCUCCAAUUUUGUCCAAAGAAUCCCUUACUCUUGGAAACUUUCCUGGGGUGCUAAAGAAGAGAUAGAUUUCCAGGCUAUGAGAAAAAAGGGUAACUCCCCAUGUAGGGGAUAGAGUAGGGUAUUUUGAGGAUCUAAAAGGAACCUACCCCCUGAAUCUUCCCUGCCAAAGGCGCCUAUUAAAUCUAGCGUGAU
Molecule: long non-coding RNA, 585 nt
Organism: Molossus molossus (Pallas's mastiff bat)
Lineage: Eukaryota; Metazoa; Chordata; Mammalia; Chiroptera; Molossidae
Exons: 3
Source: RefSeq, a predicted model, not a curated record